CGGCGUGCUUAACACAUGCAAGUCGAACGAAGAUAUUUAGAAUGAGAGCUUCGGCAGGAUUUUUAUCUAUCUUAGUGGCGGACGGGUGAGUAACGUGUGGGCAACCUGCCCUGUACUGGGGAAUAAUCAUUGGAAACGAUGACUAAUACCGCAUGUGGUCCUCGGAAGGCAUCUUCUGAGGAAGAAAGGAUUUAUUCGGUACAGGAUGGUGCCCGCAUCUGAUUAGCUAGUUGGUGAGAUAACAGCCCACCAAGGCGACGAUCAGUAGCCGACCUGAGAGGGUGAUCGGCCACAUUGGGACUGAGACACGGCCCAAACUCCUACGGGAGGCAGCAGUGGGGAAUAUUGCACAAUGGGCGAAAGCCUGAUGCAGCAACGCCGCGUGAAGGAUGAAGGGUUUCGGCUCGUAAACUUCUAUCAAUAGGGAAGAAACAAAUGACGGUACCUAAAUAAGAAGCCCCGGCUAACUACGUGCCAGCAGCCGCGGUAAUACGUAGGGGGCAAGCGUUAUCCGGAAUUACUGGGUGUAAAGGGAGCGUAGGCGGCAUGGUAAGCCAGAUGUGAAAGCCUUGGGCUUAACCCGAGGAUUGCGUUUGGAACUAUCAAGCUAGAGUACAGGAGAGGAAAGCGGAAUUCCUAGUGUAGCGGUGAAAUGCGUAGAUAUUAGGAAGAACACCAGUGGCGAAGGCGGCUUUCUGGACUGAAACUGACGCUGAGGCUCGAAAGCGUGGGGAGCAAACAGGAUUAGAUACCCUGGUAGUCCACGCCGUAAACGAUGAGUGCUAGGUGUCGGGGAGGAAUCCUCGGUGCCGCAGCUAACGCAAUAAGCACUCCACCUGGGGAGUACGACCGCAAGGUUGAAACUCAAAGGAAUUGACGGGGGCCCGCACAAGCGGUGGAGCAUGUGGUUUAAUUCGAAGCAACGCGAAGAACCUUACCAAGGCUUGACAUCCCGAUGACCGCUCUAGAGAUAGAGCUUCUCUUCGGAGCAUCGGUGACAGGUGGUGCAUGGUUGUCGUCAGCUCGUGUCGUGAGAUGUUGGGUUAAGUCCCGCAACGAGCGCAACCCUUAUCUUCAGUAGCCAUCAUUCAGUUGGGCACUCUGGAGAGACUGCCGUGGAUAACACGGAGGAAGGUGGGGAUGACGUCAAAUCAUCAUGCCCCUUAUGUCUUGGGCUACACACGUGCUACAAUGGCUGGCAACAAAGUGACGCAAGACGGCGACGUUAAGCAAAUCACAAAAACCAGUCCCAGUUCGGAUUGUAGUCUGCAACUCGACUACAUGAAGCUGGAAUCGCUAGUAAUCGCGAAUCAGCAUGUCGCGGUGAAUACGUUCCCGGGCCUUGUACACACCGCCCGUCACACCAUGGGAGUUGGAAGCACCCGAAGUCGGUGACCUAACCGUAAGGAAGGAGCCGCCGAAGGUGAAGCCAGUGACU
This 1438-nucleotide ribosomal RNA is filed under the name uncultured organism. Its description in RNAcentral is "16S ribosomal RNA". It matches the Rfam family "Bacterial small subunit ribosomal RNA". The record is from RNAcentral.